Molecule: transfer RNA, 72 nt
Filed under: Sus scrofa (pig)
Lineage: Eukaryota; Metazoa; Chordata; Mammalia; Artiodactyla; Suidae
Rfam family: tRNA
About the family: Transfer RNA (tRNA) molecules are approximately 80 nucleotides in length.
Source: Rfam by way of RNAcentral
UCCCUGGUGGUCUAGUGGUUAUGAUUCAGCAUUUUCACUGCUGUAGCCCAAGUUCAGUCCCUGGUCUGGGAA